GACGUAGGGCGCGAGCGUUGUCCGGAUUUAUUGGGCGUAAAGAGCUCGUAGGCGGUUUGUCGCGUCGGCCGUGAAAACUCACAGCUUAACUGUGAGCUUGCGGUCGAUACGGGCAGGCUAGAGUUCGGUAGGGGAGACUGGAAUUCCUGGUGUAGCGGUGAAAUGCGCAGAUAUCAGGAGGAACACCGGUGGCGAAGGCGGGUCUCUGGGCCGUAACUGACGCUGAGGAGCGAAAGCGUGGGGAGCGAACAGG
This 253-nucleotide ribosomal RNA is filed under the name uncultured bacterium. Its description in RNAcentral is "partial 16S ribosomal RNA". It matches the Rfam family "Bacterial small subunit ribosomal RNA", at positions 524 to 776 of the family's 1533-position model. The record is from RNAcentral.